This 776-nucleotide ribosomal RNA is filed under the name uncultured Neocallimastigales. RNAcentral describes it as "partial large subunit ribosomal RNA". It matches the Rfam family "Eukaryotic large subunit ribosomal RNA", at positions 22 to 637 of the family's 3401-position model. Lineage: Eukaryota; Fungi; Neocallimastigomycota; Neocallimastigomycetes; Neocallimastigales. The record is from RNAcentral.
UACACGCUGUGACUAGCAUAUCAAUAAGCGGAGGAAAAGAAACUAACAAGGAUUCCCCUAGUAACGGCGAGUGAAGCGGGAAGAGCUCAAAUUUGAAAUCUUAAAGGGUUUCCCUUUACGAAUUGUAGUUUAAAGAAGUGUUUUCUGUUGAGGUUUUGGUAAAAGUUCUUCGGAAUAGGACAUCAUAGAGGGUGAGAAUCCCGUAUUUGAUCAUUACCUUUCUAACUUUGUGAUACACUUUCAAAGAGUCGGAUUGUUUGGGAAUGCAGUCCAAAAUGGGUGGUAAAUUUCAUCUAAAGCUAAAUAUUGGCGAGAGACCGAUAGCGAACAAGUACCGUGAGGGGAAGAUGAAAAGAACUUUGAAAAGAGAGUUAAACAGUACGUGAAAUUGUCAAAAGGGAAGCGUUUGACACCAGUGUUGUUUUUCUGAAAAUCAAUUAAAGAACUGUUUAUGCUAAGUUGUUUAGACUUUAUCAGCUAACUGUUUAGUUUUGAGCUUUUCUUUAAUGCACUUUUCAGUUAACAAGUCAACAUCAAUUUCUUUUCGCUGUAAAAAAGCUUGAGGAAGGUGGCUUGAGAUUCGUCUUAAGUGUUUAUAGCCUCUUGCCUAUGCAGUCGGAGAGAUUGAGGUCUGCAGCGUAGAUCCUUCGGGGCUAAAUGCAUUUGUGCUAAGUUAUAGCAUUUCAUAGACAACUUGUUGACUAUGAUUUGUCUUGUAGCUUACUCGCUUAUGUUAUUUUACCUACGCUUAGGAUGUUGACAGCAGUAUAGACUGU